RNAcentral lists this ribosomal RNA (400 nucleotides) under uncultured bacterium. RNAcentral describes it as "partial 16S ribosomal RNA". It matches the Rfam family "Bacterial small subunit ribosomal RNA", at positions 338 to 735 of the family's 1533-position model. The record is from RNAcentral.
CCUACGUGUGGCAGCAGUGAGGAAUAUUGGUCAAUGGACGGGAGUCUGAACCAGCCAUGCCGCGUGAAGGCCGACUGCUCUAUGAGUUGUAAACUUCUUUUAUACAUGAAUAAACCUGAUUACGUGUAUUCAGCUGAAAGUACUGUACGAAUAAGUAUCGGCUAACUCCGUGCCAGCAGCCGCGGUAAUCCGGAGGAUCCAAGCGUUCUCCGGAUUUAUUGGGUUCAAGGGGUGCGAAGGCGGAUUGAUAAGUUAGGUGUGAAAUGUUCGAGCUUAACUCGGGAACUGCAGCUAAUACUGUCGAUCUUGAGAGUAGAUGCGGUAGGCGGAAUGUAUGGUGUAGCGGUGAAAUGCUGAGAGAUCACACAGAACACCGAUUGCGAAGGCAGCUUACCAAGCU